This 30-nucleotide non-coding RNA is filed under the name Rattus norvegicus (Norway rat). The record is from RNAcentral. Lineage: Eukaryota; Metazoa; Chordata; Mammalia; Rodentia; Muridae.
UUGUGCUCUGGACGAUUGUAGUGAUCAACC